UACGUAGGGGGCAAGCGUUGUCCGGAUUAUUGGGCGUAAAGAGCGUGUAGGCGGCUGGGUAGGUCCGUUGUGAAAACUCGAGCUCAACCUCGAGACGCCGAUGGAAACCCUCCAGCUAGAGUCCGGAAGAGGAGAGUGGAAUUCCUGGUGUAGCGGUGAAAUGCGCAGAUAUCAGGAAGAACACCCGUGGCUAAGGCGGCUCUCUAGUACGGUACUGACGCUGAGACGCGAAAGCAUGGGGAGCAAACAGG
Molecule: ribosomal RNA, 251 nt
Filed under: uncultured bacterium
Lineage: Bacteria
Description: partial 16S ribosomal RNA
Rfam family: Bacterial small subunit ribosomal RNA
Source: RNAcentral